This 468-nucleotide ribosomal RNA is filed under the name uncultured bacterium. RNAcentral describes it as "partial 16S ribosomal RNA". It matches the Rfam family "Bacterial small subunit ribosomal RNA", at positions 28 to 507 of the family's 1533-position model. The record is from RNAcentral.
GACGAACGCUGGCGGCGUGCUUAACACAUGCAAGUCGAACGGAAAGGCCCUGCUUUUGUGGGGUGCUCGAGUGGCGAACGGGUGAGUAACACGUGAGUAACCUGCCCUUGACUUUGGGAUAACUUCAGGAAACUGGGGCUAAUACCGGAUAGGAGCUCCUGCUGCAUGGUGGGGGUUGGAAAGUUUCGGCGGUUGGGGAUGGACUCGCGGCUUAUCAGCUUGUUGGUGGGGUAGUGGCUUACCAAGGCUUUGACGGGUAGCCGGCCUGAGAGGGUGACCGGCCACAUUGGGACUGAGAUACGGCCCAGACUCCUACGGGGGGCAACAGUGGGAAAUAUUGCACAAUGGGCGGAAGCCUGAUGCAGCAACGCCGCGUGCGGGAUGACGGCCUUCGGGUUGUAAACCGCUUUCGCCUGUGACGAAGCGUGAGUGACGGUAAUGGGUAAAGAAGCACCGGCUAACUACGUG